GUGGGGAAUAUUGGACAAUGGGGGGAACCCUGAUCCAGCCAUGCCGCGUGUGUGAAGAAGGCCUUUUGGUUGUAAAGCACUUUAAGCGAGGAGGAGGCUACCGAGAUUAAUACUCUUGGAUAGUGGACGUUACUCGCAGAAUAAGCACCGGCUAACUCUGUGCCAGCAGCCGCGGUAAUACAGAGGGUGCAAGCGUUAAUCGGAUUUACUGGGCGUAAAGCGCGCGUAGGUGGCCAAUUAAGUCAAAUGUGAAAUCCCCGGGCUUAACUUGGGAAUUGCAUUCGAUACUGGUUGGCUAGAGUAUGGGAGAGGAUGGUAGAAUUCCAGGUGUAGCGGUGAAAUGCGUAGAGAUCUGGAGGAAUACCGAUGGCGAAGGCAGCCAUCUGGCCUAAUACUGACACUGAGGUGCGAAAGCAUGGGGAGCAAACAGGAUUAGAUACCCCGGUAGUUC
This 451-nucleotide ribosomal RNA is filed under the name uncultured bacterium. RNAcentral's name for it is "partial 16S ribosomal RNA". It matches the Rfam family "Bacterial small subunit ribosomal RNA", at positions 354 to 796 of the family's 1533-position model. The record is from RNAcentral.